GUCAAGAUGGCCGAGUGGUUAAGGCGCCAGACUUAAGAUUCUAAUUCAAAUAAUAGAUUAAUAGGUAAUCUUAUUGUGAUAUCCGUUACUUGGCAUUCUGGUCUUCGAAGAAGGCGUGGGUUCGAACCCCACUCUUGACA
RNAcentral lists this transfer RNA (140 nucleotides) under Daphnia pulex (common water flea). It matches the Rfam family "tRNA". From Rfam's summary of the family: Transfer RNA (tRNA) molecules are approximately 80 nucleotides in length. Their secondary structure includes four short double-helical elements and three loops (D, anti-codon, and T loops). The record is from Rfam by way of RNAcentral. Lineage: Eukaryota; Metazoa; Arthropoda; Branchiopoda; Diplostraca; Daphniidae.